UCUUCCCUUAGAAGCACUGCAUGCAUGGCUACUAUGUCACAUGUGUCUCAGUAGGUGGCAGAGAGGAGAGAGGCUAAGCCUACACUCAGUGUUCUGACCUAAGAACAUCUGAAAGAUUAGUAGCUUAACAUU
Small nucleolar RNA from Grammomys surdaster, 132 nucleotides. RefSeq annotates it as small nucleolar RNA SNORA17. NCBI's taxonomy places the organism in Eukaryota, Metazoa, Chordata, Mammalia, Rodentia, Muridae. The transcript has a single exon. The record is from RefSeq and is a predicted model, not a curated record.